Non-coding RNA from Doryrhamphus excisus (bluestripe pipefish), 1095 nucleotides. Lineage: Eukaryota; Metazoa; Chordata; Actinopteri; Syngnathiformes; Syngnathidae. The record is from RefSeq and is a predicted model, not a curated record.
UCAUCACAUUUACUUUUUCCGCAUGUGGAAUAUGGAUUGAUGAGUGCUCUCACUUUGCAGGAAGGCCUCCAGGUUUUUCACAUAGUCUGCAUACUUCCCAGCGUCGGUUCUGUUGAAAGCGAUGUCCAGCGAGUUGGGAAGGAUCACCAACCCUGCAAGAGGGCAGCGUGACGUAGGAAGGAGACAUCGGACAUUCCAACCCAGCUACGAAAGCAGCCCCCAGACAGGACAUUUCACGGUGCCGGCAUCUCUCGACCUUCCUACCAAACAGGUCUGCAGUGAGCUGCAUGAUGAAGUCAUUUGAGGAAACCCCGCCGUCCACCCUGACAUGCAAACAAGCCGCUGAAAGACGGGACAAAACACACGCCGUCUGAGUCACUGACGCUGUAAGCCAUGGUGCUCGUGUCCUCCACGUCAGAGAAGAGAUCUGCAAAUUACGAGGCGGAUGGUUGCUUAAUUUUAUGUGACACACGACCCCUUCAAUACUGGCCAAUUGACUGAUCUUUAUUGUUAAUGUAGGAGCUAUUUAUUAGUGUGUUCCUAGGUUUCUGAUAUCUGUUGAUUUAUUUUUUGUUGUUGUUGUUUUGUUUGGAUUACUUGAUAAUAUUUUCUUGUUAUUUAUUUAUUUUGUUUAUCUAUCAUAUUUUGUUGGGGUUAAUUAGUAGUUAAUUUCUGGGUUUAUUUCAUUGGAUAACACCCUGGGCACCUGCAAUAUAUUUAGGUAGGCAGUGUUCACAGGACCAGCAUGCACCGGGUUGCCUAUGGUUUUUGUACCAGCGCAAGAGAGGCAACAGGAAAAGGCCCUUGUUCCUUUUUUGUUUGUUUGCUUGCUUGGUAAUAAAAGGAAAGAAGAAGAAACGGAACAAGAUUGUUUGGACAAUGACUCUUUUGCCUGCGUAAAACAAAACCCAUGGUGCAUCAGUGGCCUUUUGAUUAUAAGUUCCGUUUAUUAUUUUAGUGAAGGACAAAUAGCCACUACAGUUAAUAUUGUGUUCUGUGACAAUAUAAACAUGGAAACCACCAAAAGAAAGAUUAGACCCCUGAAAAAAAAAAGUUCAUGUUCUCUGCCGAGCUCUUAUCGUAUGCACUUCUGCC